RNAcentral lists this non-coding RNA (22 nucleotides) under Rattus norvegicus (Norway rat). The record is from RNAcentral. Lineage: Eukaryota; Metazoa; Chordata; Mammalia; Rodentia; Muridae.
UUGAAUUGGUGACCUUUACCCC